GGGGAAUUUUGGACAAUGGGCGAAAGCCUGAUCCAGCAAUGCCGCGUGUGUGAAGAAGGCCUUCGGGUUGUAAAGCACUUUUGUCCGGAAAGAAAUCCUUGGCUCUAAUACAGUCGGGGGAUGACGGUACCGGAAGAAUAAGCACCGGCUAACUACGUGCCAGCAGCCGCGGUAAUACGUAGGGUGCGAGCGUUAAUCGGAAUUACUGGGCGUAAAGCGUGCGCAGGCGGUUUGCUAAGACCGAUGUGAAGUCCCCGGGCUCAACCUGGGAACUGCAUUGGUGACUGGCAGGCUAGAGUAUGGCAGAGGGGGGUAGAAUUCCACGUGUAGCAGUGAAAUGCGUAGAGAUGUGGAGGAAUACCGAUGGCGAAGGCAGCCCACUGGGCCAAGACUGACGCUCAUGCACGAAAGCGUGGGGAGCAAAC
This 425-nucleotide ribosomal RNA is filed under the name uncultured bacterium. Its description in RNAcentral is "bacterial SSU rRNA". It matches the Rfam family "Bacterial small subunit ribosomal RNA", at positions 356 to 773 of the family's 1533-position model. The record is from RNAcentral.